CCCUUAGAUGUUCUGGGCCGCACGCGCGCUACACUGAACAUAUCAGCAUGUUAUUCCCUUCCUGAGAAGGACGGGUAAACCUCUGAGCCAUGUUCAUGGUAGGGAUUGGGGCUUGCAAUUAUUCCCCACGAACCAGGAAUUCCCAGUAGGCGCAAGUCAUAAGCUUGCGUUGAUUACGUCCCUGCCCUUUGUACACACCGCCCGUCGCUCCUACCGAUUGAAUGUGUUGGUGAGGAGCUCGGAUUGGCAGCAGUUGGUGGUUCGCCACCGGCUAUUGCUGAGAAGUCCUCCAAACCGCCCCAUUUAGAGGAAGGAGAAGUCGUAACA
RNAcentral lists this ribosomal RNA (327 nucleotides) under uncultured eukaryote. RNAcentral describes it as "partial 18S ribosomal RNA". It matches the Rfam family "Eukaryotic small subunit ribosomal RNA", at positions 1470 to 1796 of the family's 1831-position model. The record is from RNAcentral.